UUUAAGAAGAAUAUUUUUAUUUCACAUGCUAGUUACCUUUAUUCUGUUUGAAACUAUCAGGAUAGAUGAUGUAAAACCAUUUCUUCUCAGACAAAUGUUUCUUUACUAAAUACCAUAAAUAGAAUUUUGUUGGACAAAUUGAGGAUGGCAAACUUGGCCUAUAUGUUCUUCUAAAAUUUGAAGCUGUGAUUAGGAUUGAGCCCUAAGUGAGCUGCGUUAAUGUACCAUCAUUAGCUAAUUUUCAAAAGGAAAUAAAUAGAGGUUCAAAGUGUAAAAACAUGACUGAAUGAGGUCACGCAGUCAUUUUAGUGUUUACUUUCUCUGAUGCACAGAAUUUGUAUCCUGUGCCAAAUUAUGUCAGGUAAUUGGAUGAUGAAAAAUAUGUUGAUUGAUAAAACAGUAUCAUUAUUAUUGGAUGUACUUACUGAAUCCUCAGAGGUAGAAGACAAAGGCUGGGAAAUUUUUAAUUUUUUGAAGAUUAAUAAUUAAUAACUAACUAGCAUUUUAUAUUUUAGCAAUAAAAACGUUCACUUAAGAGGCCAUUUUCAUUUCACUGAGAGAUCUAGGAAUAAUGCCUUUUUUCUUUAGUUUUUACACCCAAGACAAAUUUUCCUGUUUUGGGCAAACUACCCAUAUUUUCAAACAGUUGUUGUACCUUGUAUUCAAGAACUACUGUAAUGCAUUAGUGGUCUGGCUUCAUUUUGUAUGAUGCCAGAUCCUUAAUUUACCCAGCACAAUCAUUUCAGUAGUUUCCUAUGGCUCCUGCAAAAAUGCAAACAGAAACCACCACAGGAACAGCCCCUUGCUGCCUCCUGUUGCUGAGGUAGUAGUCGCUAAAGAAAAUUGAAGGCUCCUUACAAUCUAUAUUUGAAAACUAGAACUUCUGUAGAAACACACAGAUCCCGAUCUUAGAAGUUGUACAGGACAAUCUGGUAAAACUGACAUAAUUGUGAUUUAUUAACAUGAAUUAAAAUGCCCAACCAGUGCUUCAGUGUGACA
RNAcentral lists this long non-coding RNA (999 nucleotides) under Homo sapiens (human). RNAcentral describes it as "non-protein coding lnc-PUS7-2:1". The record is from RNAcentral. Lineage: Eukaryota; Metazoa; Chordata; Mammalia; Primates; Hominidae.